This 443-nucleotide ribosomal RNA is filed under the name uncultured bacterium. RNAcentral's name for it is "partial 16S ribosomal RNA". It matches the Rfam family "Bacterial small subunit ribosomal RNA", at positions 338 to 795 of the family's 1533-position model. The record is from RNAcentral.
CCUACGGGAGGCAGCAGUGGGGAAUAUUGGGCAAUGGGCGCAAGCCUGACCCAGCAACGCCGCGUGAAGGAAGAAGGCCCUCGGGUUGUAAACUUCUUUUAACAGGGACGAAGAAAGUGACGGUACCUGUUGCAUAAGCCACGGCUAACUACGUGCCAGCAGCCGCGGUAAUACGUAGGUGGCAAGCGUUAUCCGGAUUUACUGGGUGUAAAGGGCGUGUAGGCGGGAGAGCAAGUCAGACGUGAAAUUCCAGGGCUCAACCCUGGAACUGCGGUUGAAACUGUUCUUCUUGAGUGAAGGAGAGGCAGGCGGAAUUCCGUGUGUAGCGGUGAAAUGCGUAGACAUACGGAGGAACACCAGUGGCGAAGGCGGCCUGCUGGACAGUAACUGACGCUGAGGCGCGAAAGCGUGGGGAGCAAACAGGAUUAGAUACCCGUGUAGUC